Molecule: signal recognition particle RNA, 146 nt
Filed under: Homo sapiens (human)
Lineage: Eukaryota; Metazoa; Chordata; Mammalia; Primates; Hominidae
Description: Metazoan signal recognition particle RNA
Rfam family: Metazoan signal recognition particle RNA
About the family: The signal recognition particle (SRP) is a universally conserved ribonucleoprotein. It is involved in the co-translational targeting of proteins to membranes.
Source: Rfam by way of RNAcentral
GCCGGGUGUGGUGGCGCACGCCUGUAGUCCCAGCUACUUGGGAGGCUGAGGCAGGAGAAUCACUUGAACCCAGGAGGUGGAGGUUGCAGUGAGCCAAGAUUGCACCACUGCACUCCAUCCUGGGUGACAGUGAGACUCUGCCUCAA